CCGAGCGCAGCUCUGUCCGGCAGCGGUGCCGUCCCUGCUCCACCGGUACUCGGGCAAGGUUAAGGUUGCAACUUUGAUCACGUAGUUCGGUUGCCAUCGCUGACAACACUGAUCAAUCUCACCUGCUGAUGCUUUGCUAGAGUUAUGGGCCUACUACACUGCCGUGGAAACCAACCAACCGUCUGGUGAUGUGGGGCCUGAAACAGGUUGCAACCACUGCCACCAACCUUCCAGACAAGAGCCGCAUGCAGCUCUCACCACCCCUGAUGUUGUCCCUUAUUCACCACUACUCAAGCAAGGGGGGUUAAUUGCCACGGCUUCAUCAACCAAUCGAUCGCAAAGUGAUGCAGAAUCUGAAACAGG
This is a long non-coding RNA of Panicum hallii, 363 nucleotides long. RefSeq lists it as uncharacterized. The transcript is spliced from 3 exons. The record is from RefSeq and is a predicted model, not a curated record. NCBI's taxonomy places the organism in Eukaryota, Viridiplantae, Streptophyta, Magnoliopsida, Poales, Poaceae.